This 426-nucleotide ribosomal RNA is filed under the name uncultured bacterium. Its description in RNAcentral is "partial 16S ribosomal RNA". It matches the Rfam family "Bacterial small subunit ribosomal RNA", at positions 354 to 796 of the family's 1533-position model. The record is from RNAcentral.
GUGAGGAAUUUUCCGCAAUGGGCGAAAGCCUGACGGAGCAAUGCCGCGUGAAGGAUGAAGGCCUAUGGGUUGUAAACUUCUUUUCUCAGAAAAGAAUUAUGACGGUAUCUGAGGAAUAAGCAUCGGCUAACUCUGUGCCAGCAGCCGCGGUAAGACAGAGGAUGCAAGCGUUAUCCGGAAUGAUUGGGCGUAAAGCGUCUGUAGGUUGUUUAAAAAGUAUUCUGUCAAAGAUUAGGGCUUAACCCUAGAUAGGCAGAAUAAACUUUUAAGCUAGAGUUUGGUAGAGGCAGAGGGAAUUCCCGGUGGAACGGUGAAAUGCGUAGAUAUCGGGAGGAACACCAAAGGCGAAGGCACUCUGCUGGGCCAAUACUAACACUGAGAGACGAAAGCGAGGGGAGCAAAUGGGAUUAGAUACCCGGGUAGUCC